RNAcentral lists this ribosomal RNA (576 nucleotides) under Saccharomyces cerevisiae (brewer's yeast). RNAcentral describes it as "eukaryotic LSU rRNA". It matches the Rfam family "Eukaryotic large subunit ribosomal RNA", at positions 60 to 649 of the family's 3401-position model. Lineage: Eukaryota; Fungi; Ascomycota; Saccharomycetes; Saccharomycetales; Saccharomycetaceae. The record is from RNAcentral.
AGAAACCAACCGGGAUUGCCUUAGUAUACGGCGAGUGAAGCGGCAAAAGCUCAAAUUUGAAAUCUGGUACCUUCGGUGCCCGAGUUGUAAUUUGGAGAGGGCAACUUUGGGGCCGUUCCUUGUCUAUGUUCCUUGGAACAGGACGUCAUAGAGGGUGAGAAUCCCGUGUGGCGAGGAGUGCGGUUCUUUGUAAAGUGCCUUCGAAGAGUCGAGUUGUUUGGGAAUGCAGCUCUAAGUGGGUGGUAAAUUCCAUCUAAAGCUAAAUAUUGGCGAGAGACCGAUAGCGAACAAGUACAGUGAUGGAAAGAUGAAAAGAACUUUGAAAAGAGAGUGAAAAAGUACGUGAAAUUGUUGAAAGGGAAGGGCAUUUGAUCAGACAUGGUGUUUUGUGCCCUCUGCUCCUUGUGGGUAGGGGAAUCUCGCAUUUCACUGGGCCAGCAUCAGUUUUGGUGGCAGGAUAAAUCCAUAGGAAUGUAGCUUGCCUCGGUAAGUAUUAUAGCCUGUGGGAAUACUGCCAGCUGGGACUGAGGACUGCGACGUAAGUCAAGGAUGCUGGCAUAAUGGUUAUAUGCCGCC